CUCUUCUUGUUUAUUAUUUGAAGUAUGGUCUGCCCGCUGAUAUUAAUUGAAGGGCCGCGGUAUUUUGACCGUGCAAAGGUAGCAUAAUCAUUAGUUCUUUAAUUGUGGACUGGUAUGAAUGGCUUGACGAGGUACUGUCUGUCUUUAUAUUGAAUUUUUAUAGAAUUUGGUUUUUGGGUAAGAAUACCUAAAUUUUAUUAUGGGACGAGAAGACCCUAUAGAGUUUUAUAUAAUAACUUCUUUAUUUGUUUGAUUUUUUGGAUAGGAUUGGUUAAUUAUAUUUUGUUGGGGUGAUGGGAUGAUAAUUUUAACUCUUCCUUAUUUUUUUUUCACUUAUUUGUGUUUUAAUGAUCCYUUAUUAUUGAUUAUAARAUUAAAUUACC
RNAcentral lists this ribosomal RNA (383 nucleotides) under Postelectrotermes howa. RNAcentral's name for it is "partial 16S ribosomal RNA". Lineage: Eukaryota; Metazoa; Arthropoda; Insecta; Blattodea; Kalotermitidae. The record is from RNAcentral.